RNAcentral lists this ribosomal RNA (466 nucleotides) under uncultured bacterium. Its description in RNAcentral is "partial 16S ribosomal RNA". It matches the Rfam family "Bacterial small subunit ribosomal RNA", at positions 29 to 507 of the family's 1533-position model. The record is from RNAcentral.
AUGAACGCUGGCGGCGUGCUUAACCCAUGCAAGUCGAACGGAAAGGCUCCUGCUUGCAGGGGUACUCGAGUGGCGAACGGGUGAGUAACACGUGGGUGAUCUGCCCUGCACUUCGGGAUAAGCCUGGGAAACUGGGUCUAAUACCGGAUAGGACCACAUUUUGGAUGGUGUGGUGGAAAGUUUUUCGGUGUGGGAUGAGCUCGCGGCCUAUCAGCUUGUUGGUGGGGUAAUGGCCUACCAAGGCGUCGACGGGUAGCCGGCCUGAGAGGGUGUACGGCCACAUUGGGACUGAGAUACGGCCCAGACUCCUACGGGAGGCAGCAAUGGGGAAUAUUGCACAAUGGGCGCAAGCCUGAUGCAGCGACGCCGCGUGGGGGAUGACGGCCUUCGGGUUGUAAACUCCUUUCGCUAGGGACGAAGCGUUUUUGUGACGGUACCUGGAGAAGAAGCACCGGCUAACUACGUG